RNAcentral lists this ribosomal RNA (497 nucleotides) under uncultured bacterium. RNAcentral's name for it is "partial 16S ribosomal RNA". It matches the Rfam family "Bacterial small subunit ribosomal RNA", at positions 28 to 507 of the family's 1533-position model. The record is from RNAcentral.
GAUGAACGCUGGCGGCGUGCCUAAUACAUGCAAGUCGAGCGAACAGACGAGGAGCUUGCUCCUCUGACGUUAGCGGCGGACGGGUGAGUAACACGUGGAUAACCUACCUAUAAGACUGGGAUAACUUCGGGAAACCGGAGCUAAUACCGGAUAAUAUAUUGAACCGCAUGGUUCAAUAGUGAAAGACGGUUUUGCUGUCACUUAUAGAUUGAUCCGCGCCGCAUUAGCUAGUUGGUAAGGUAACGGCUUACGAAGGCGACGAUGCGUAGCCGACCUGAGAGGGUGAUCGGCCACAGCGGAACUGAGAAACGGCCGCGACUCCUACGGUAGGCAGCAGUAGGGAAUCUUCCGCAAUGGGCGAAAGCUUGACGGAGCAACGGCGCGCGAGUGAUGAAGCUCUUCGGAGCGGAAAACUCUGCUAUCAGGGAAGAACAAAUGUGUAAGUAACUAUGCCCGUCGUGACGUUACCUAAUAAGAAAGCCACGGCUAACUACGUG